Molecule: ribosomal RNA, 425 nt
Filed under: uncultured rumen bacterium
Lineage: Bacteria
Description: bacterial SSU rRNA
Rfam family: Bacterial small subunit ribosomal RNA
Source: RNAcentral
GUGGGGAAUAUUGGACAAUGGUCGGAAGACUGAUCCAGCCAUGCCGCGUGCAGGAAGACGGUCCUAUGGAUUGUAAACUGCUUUUGUACGGGAGCAAUAAGUGCCACGUGUGACACGAUGAGAGUACCGUACGAAUAAGCAUCGGCUAACUCCGUGCCAGCAGCCGCGGUAAUACGGAGGAUGCGAGCGUUAUCCGGAUUUAUUGGGUUUAAAGGGUGCGUAGGCGGCUUGACAAGUCAGCGGUGAAAUGCAAGGGCCUAACCCUUGACGUGCCGUUGAAACUGCCGGGCUAGAAUGCGGAUGCUGUGGGAGGAAUGUGUAGUGUAGCGGUGAAAUGCAUAGAUAUUACACAGAACACCGAUUGCGAAGGCAUCUCACAAAUCCGCUAUUGACGCUGAGGCACGAAAGUGCGGGGAUCAAACAGG